CCUACGGGUGGCUGCAGUGGGGAAUAUUGGACAAUGGGGGCAACCCUGAUCCAGCCAUGCCGCGUGUGUGAAGAAGGCCCUCGGGUUGUAAAGCACUUUCAGUGAGGAAGAACGCCUGGUGGUUAAUACCCAUCAGGAAAGACAUCACUCACAGAAGAAGCACCGGCUAACUCCGUGCCAGCAGCCGCGGUAAUACGGAGGGUGCGAGCGUUAAUCGGAAUUACUGGGCGUAAAGCGCGCGUAGGUGGCUUGAUAAGCCGGUUGUGAAAGCCCCGGGCUCAACCUGGGAACGGCAUCCGGAACUGUCAAGCUAGAGUGCAGGAGAGGAAGGUAGAAUUCCCGGUGUAGCGGUGAAAUGCGUAGAGAUCGGGAGGAAUACCAGUGGCGAAGGCGGCCUUCUGGACUGACACUGACACUGAGGUGCGAAAGCGUGGGUAGCAAACAGGAUUUAGAUACCCCAGUAGUC
RNAcentral lists this ribosomal RNA (466 nucleotides) under Vreelandella stevensii. RNAcentral's name for it is "partial 16S ribosomal RNA". It matches the Rfam family "Bacterial small subunit ribosomal RNA", at positions 338 to 795 of the family's 1533-position model. The record is from RNAcentral. Lineage: Bacteria; Pseudomonadati; Pseudomonadota; Gammaproteobacteria; Oceanospirillales; Halomonadaceae.